GGCAGGCCUAACACAUGCAAGUCGAGCGGUAGAGAGAAGCUUGCUUCUCUUGAGAGCGGCGGACGGGUGAGUAAUGCCUAGGAAUCUGCCUGGUAGUGGGGGAUAACGUUCGGAAACGGACGCUAAUACCGCAUACGUCCUACGGGAGAAAGCAGGGGACCUUCGGGCCUUGCGCUAUCAGAUGAGCCUAGGUCGGAUUAGCUAGUUGGUGAGGUAAUGGCUCACCAAGGCGACGAUCCGUAACUGGUCUGAGAGGAUGAUCAGUCACACUGGAACUGAGACACGGUCCAGACUCCUACGGGAGGCAGCAGUGGGGAAUAUUGGACAAUGGGCGAAAGCCUGAUCCAGCCAUGCCGCGUGUGUGAAGAAGGUCUUCGGAUUGUAAAGCACUUUAAGUUGGGAGGAAGGGCAGUUACCUAAUACGUGAUUGUUUUGACGUUACCGACAGAAUAAGCACCGGCUAACUCUGUGCCAGCAGCCGCGGUAAUACAGAGGGUGCAAGCGUUAAUCGGAAUUACUGGGCGUAAAGCGCGCGUAGGUGGUUAGUUAAGUUGGAUGUGAAAUCCCCGGGCUCAACCUGGGAACUGCAUUCAAAACUGACUGACUAGAGUAUGGUAGAGGGUGGUGGAAUUUCCUGUGUAGCGGUGAAAUGCGUAGAUAUAGGAAGGAACACCAGUGGCGAAGGCGACCACCUGGACU
Molecule: ribosomal RNA, 699 nt
Filed under: Pseudomonas sp.
Lineage: Bacteria; Pseudomonadati; Pseudomonadota; Gammaproteobacteria; Pseudomonadales; Pseudomonadaceae
Description: bacterial SSU rRNA
Rfam family: Bacterial small subunit ribosomal RNA
Source: RNAcentral